RNAcentral lists this non-coding RNA (27 nucleotides) under Rattus norvegicus (Norway rat). Lineage: Eukaryota; Metazoa; Chordata; Mammalia; Rodentia; Muridae. The record is from RNAcentral.
GGUGUAGCUGACUCAAAAAGUUCUUUG